Molecule: long non-coding RNA, 356 nt
Filed under: Cricetulus griseus (Chinese hamster)
Lineage: Eukaryota; Metazoa; Chordata; Mammalia; Rodentia; Cricetidae
Description: lncRNA (ENSCGRG00000024529.1)
Source: RNAcentral
GGUCCAUUUGCAUGCUUUCUGGCAUUUCUGACAUUCCAGGGAAAUGACGUGGCAGCCGCCUGGGCUCAGUGAAUGCAGGAGAGAUCAGAACUGCAGCUGGGGUGCUACAGGACUAAUAGAGCCAAGGACACUGGCAGGAGGGAGGCCACUGCCCCUUGUUGCCACCUCACCAGUACAGGAUCUCACUAUGUAGUACCUGGAUGUCCUGGAAUACACAAGAUUUUUUUAUCAAAGGUGAGGGAGGAGGAGCAAGACCAAGAGACUCUUGGUUCUUAGCCUACAGCUUGGGAAGUCCGAAAGAACAGUACCAGCAUCUGUUCAGCCUUUUGUGGGGAUCCUGUAACCCUCAACUCGUG